CCGAACUUAUAUAAUUGAACAUAUGAUAUGAUUAUGAAGUCCCCAACUCAAUGUUAGAAAGUCUCAAACGGAACUGUCUUCUUGUGCUCGAGUUAUUGAUCUCGAGACCUCUGCUGCGAAGCUUAAAGCUUAUCUUCUUAAGCGUUCGGCUUUGGCUGAUAUUCGUCUUCGGAAUUGAGUGAUGAUGGCUUGGAUGAAACAGGCAGCCGCAGCUGGUAAUUGGUGUCAGCUUUCAUCUUGAGAACUCACCUUUUUACAAGAGUUCUCCCUUCUAUUGGAGUGUGGGGCUGAUUCUGAAUUAGUCAUAGUGUGGAGUGUGGGAACGAGCUGAUAACGUAUUGGUCAGCGACGUUUUAUUGCAUUCCAGCGUUUUGGGUUGCAUGGGACUUCCUGUUGAUUUCGAUAUCGACGAAUCAUGCGUUGUUUAUU
This 429-nucleotide long non-coding RNA is filed under the name Drosophila guanche. Lineage: Eukaryota; Metazoa; Arthropoda; Insecta; Diptera; Drosophilidae. The record is from RNAcentral.